Cyprinus carpio carpio is the source of this 868-nucleotide long non-coding RNA. NCBI's taxonomy places the organism in Eukaryota, Metazoa, Chordata, Actinopteri, Cypriniformes, Cyprinidae. The record is from Ensembl.
AGAAUGCAGUAGGACUGUCAGAGCAAAAUCACUCUUUCAGAAUUCAAAAAAUUCCCUGUCUUCGUGGAUGACAUUUAUUUACCGGUUUUCUCAGGGCUUGCACCUCAGGCAAAUCGACAUGAAGCAAGAUGGGAUUGCAAGAAGUUCCCGAACUAUGUCCAGAAUGGCUGCAGCAUUAAGAAAGGUUUGCAGUUGUGCUAUGAGGCGUUAUAAACGAAGAAGCGGGCAAAUUAUUGGACAUCCAAGAGAAUUUGCUGUUAUUGACGAAAGCAGCUUCCGUCAUAAACGGAAGUAUGGCAGAGGGAGGGCAGCCACAACUUGGAGACGAAAAAAGUGGGUCUUUGGCAUACUAGGAGUAAAGGAUGAGUGACGACAUCCAGUCUUACGCCUUGUAAAGAGAAGAGGAAGGCAGAAUCUUGUACCAAUCGUGGUCAAGCAUGUGCAACCUGGCACCACUAUUAUAAGUGACGAAUGGAGAGCGUAUAGAGGUGCAUUAGCUGCUAUGGGCUACACUCACUUUAGAGUAAAUCACAGACAGUGGUUCGUGGAGCCCACACCCAGCAUCUCAAGAGAGCGUCUACUAUUUGGAGACUCAGAGGAAACAGAACAGAAAAAAUCCUGAAGCAACACCUCUCAGUCAUUGAAUGGACUCACUGGCUGGCUGACAAACAUAGCCAGGGUCCCCUUGGUAGACUGUUAAAAGACAUUCAUCAUCACUAUCCUGUGUAGGAGUUCACCACAAAACAAGUUUUUUUUUUUGUUUUUUUUUUUAAUAACUAGCUGCUUGUUUUACUAUUGCUGUUAAAAAUAAAAAGUGUUACAUUUGCCUGUUGACAGUACAUCAUGUUUACAGGAGACAUUGUUUUUG